Molecule: non-coding RNA, 236 nt
Organism: Podarcis lilfordi (Lilford's wall lizard)
Lineage: Eukaryota; Metazoa; Chordata; Lepidosauria; Squamata; Lacertidae
Source: the annotation of a GenBank genome assembly
CCCAGGUCUGUGAAAAACAUAUGAACAGCUGCAAGGAUGUUGCUUGCCCAGAGUUGGAAAGACGGUGAGAUACCUACGAGAGCAGACUGGCAGAUGAAACUAUUGGACUAUGCAGAGAUGGCAAGAUUAACUGGGAAAAUCAGAAAUCAGGCAUAUCAAAAUUUCAAUAGAGAAUGGGACAAAUAUAGAUUGUAUUUGCAAGACCACUGUAAACACUUCAACUUUUUAGGCUUUGG